CUUCUUCCCUAACACUCUUUCCAUCUCCCUCAUUUUGCACCAGAGCCUGAAGAGAAGCUCGGUCCUGGACUAGGCCAGCUCAAUCUGGCUUCUACCUAAGCUUGAGUUUAAGCUCGGAUUGGGCUCCAGGCCCGAAUUUUGAAAGAAAUUUUGAGCCUCAACCUGGGCUAAAGCAUGAAUUUCUUUUUGGGCUGGACACAUACUGUAUUAAAACCUGAUCAGACUCUGCCUAAUUCCAACCCAACAACAUAAGAG
Molecule: long non-coding RNA, 255 nt
Filed under: Elaeis guineensis (African oil palm)
Lineage: Eukaryota; Viridiplantae; Streptophyta; Magnoliopsida; Arecales; Arecaceae
Description: long non-coding RNA (EGUI_LNC076423)
Source: RNAcentral